This 207-nucleotide ribosomal RNA is filed under the name uncultured bacterium. Its description in RNAcentral is "partial 16S ribosomal RNA". It matches the Rfam family "Bacterial small subunit ribosomal RNA", at positions 568 to 774 of the family's 1533-position model. The record is from RNAcentral.
CGUGUAGGCGGCCAGGUAGGUCUGCUGUGAAAACUCGAGGCUUUACCUCGAGAUGUCGGCGGAAACCAUCUGGCUAGAGUCCGGAAGAGGAGAAUGGAAUUCCCGGUGUAGCGGUGAAAUGCGCAGAUAUCGGGAAGAACACCCGUGGCGAAGGCGGUUCUCUGGGACGGUACUGACGCUGAGACGCGAAAGCGUGGGGAGCGAACA